RNAcentral lists this ribosomal RNA (377 nucleotides) under uncultured cyanobacterium. Its description in RNAcentral is "SSU rRNA". It matches the Rfam family "Bacterial small subunit ribosomal RNA", at positions 376 to 770 of the family's 1533-position model. Lineage: Bacteria; Bacillati; Cyanobacteriota. The record is from RNAcentral.
CGAAAGCCUGACGGAGCAAUGCCGCGUGAGGGAGGAAGGUCUCUGGGCUGUAAACUUCUUUUCUCAGGGAAGAAGAUCUGACGGUACUUGAGGAAUAAGCCUCGGCUAAUUCCGUGCCAGCAGCCGCGGUAAUACGGGUGUGGCAAGCGUUAUCCGGAAUUAUUGGGCGUAAAGCGUCCGCAGGCGGCCCUUCAAGUCUGCUGUUAAAACGUGGAGCUCAACUCCAUCAUGGCAGUGGAAACUGUUGGGCUAGAGUGUGGUAGGGGCAGAGGGAAUUCCCGGUGUAGCGGUGAAAUGCGUAGAUAUCGGGAAGAACACCAGUGGCGAAAGCGCUCUGCUGGGCCACACUGACGCUCAUGGACGAAAGCCAGGUAGCG